AGUGGCGGACGGGUGAGUAACGCGUAAGAAUCUAACUUCAGGACGGGGACAACAGUGGGAAACGACUGCUAAUACCCGAUGUGCCGCGAGGUGAAACCUAAUUGGCCUGAAGAAGAGCUUGCGUCUGAUUAGCUAGUUGGUGGGGUAAGAGCCUACCAAGGCGACGAUCAGUAGCUGGUCUGAGAGGAUGAGCAGCCACACUGGGACUGAGACACGGCCCAGACUCCUACGGGAGGCAGCAGUGGGGAAUUUUCCGCAAUGGGCAAAAGCCUGACGGAGCAACGCCGCGUGAGGGAGGAAGGUCUUUGGAUUGUAAACCUCUUUUCUCAAGGAAGAAGUUCUGACGGUACUUGAGGAAUCAGCCUCGGCUAACUCCGUGCCAGCAGCCGCGGUAAUACGGGGGAGGCAAGCGUUAUCCGGAAUUAUUGGGCGUAAAGCGUCCGCAGGUGGUCAGCCAAGUCUGCCGUCAAAUCAGGUUGCUUAACGACCUAAAGGCGGUGGAAACUGGCAGACUAGAGAGCAGUAGGGGUAGCAGGAAUUCCCAGUGUAGCGGUGAAAUGCGUAGAGAUUGGGAAGAACAUCGGUGGCGAAAGCGUGCUACUGGGCUGUAUCUGACACUCAGGGACGAAAGCUAGGGGAGCGAAAGGGAUUAGAUACCCCUGUAGUCCUAGCCGUAAACGAUGGAUACUAGGCGUGGCUU
Molecule: ribosomal RNA, 700 nt
Filed under: uncultured bacterium
Lineage: Bacteria
Description: bacterial SSU rRNA
Rfam family: Bacterial small subunit ribosomal RNA
Source: RNAcentral